Molecule: long non-coding RNA, 231 nt
Filed under: Chinchilla lanigera (long-tailed chinchilla)
Lineage: Eukaryota; Metazoa; Chordata; Mammalia; Rodentia; Chinchillidae
Description: lncRNA (ENSCLAG00000028692.1)
Source: RNAcentral
AUGGACGGUGACAGGGAGUCAGAGCACAGGGACACUCGCUGGCCAGGGCACUCAUUAUGCAAGAUGACGGCAGCUCUGGACGGUGCGCACCAUGAAGCACGAGCCAGGCAGGAAGAUGAGCUGUGGCUACGGCUGCCUCGGAGAGGAGAUGAUCACUCCCUGGACUUUUCUCCACUCCUCCUAAAUCUUAUCUCAUUUACAGCCUCUGGGCGUGGUGGUGCAUCCCUGUAA